RNAcentral lists this ribosomal RNA (253 nucleotides) under uncultured bacterium. RNAcentral describes it as "partial 16S ribosomal RNA". It matches the Rfam family "Bacterial small subunit ribosomal RNA", at positions 524 to 776 of the family's 1533-position model. The record is from RNAcentral.
UACGUAGGGUGCAAGCGUUGUCCGGAAUUAUUGGGCGUAAAGAGCUCGUAGGCGGUUCGUCGCGUCGGCUGUGAAAUCCCGAGGCUCAACCUCGGGUCUGCAGUCGAUACGGGCGGACUGGAGUUCGGCAGGGGAGACUGGAAUUCCUGGUGUAGCGGUGAAAUGCGCAGAUAUCAGGAAGAACACCCGUGGCGAAGGCGGCUCUCUGGAACGCAACUGACGCUGAGACGCGAAAGCGUGGGGAGCAAACAGG